CCUCCAUAAAUUGCCCCUAGUGUGUAGGAAGUGGAUGCAAAAGCGGGAUAGUGUAGAACUAGUUAAACAGGUGAUCAAUGGUCGGCGUGGACUCGCUGGGCCUGUUUCCACCCUGUAU
Molecule: long non-coding RNA, 118 nt
Organism: Amblyraja radiata (thorny skate)
Lineage: Eukaryota; Metazoa; Chordata; Chondrichthyes; Rajiformes; Rajidae
Exons: 3
Source: RefSeq, a predicted model, not a curated record